UACAGAGGUCCCAAGCGUUAGGCGGAAUCACUGGGCUUAAAGCGCGUGUAGGCGGAUCCGUAAGUGCCUUGUGAAAUCCCACGGCUUAACCGUGGAACGGCUGGGCAUACUGCGGGUCUUGAGCCAUCUAGGGGCCUGCGGAACAAGCGGUGGAGCGGUGAAAUGCGUAGAUAUCAGGAAGAACACCAAUGGCGAAGGCAGCUCUCUGGGACGGUACUGACGCUGAGACGCGAAAGCGUGGGGAGCGAACAGG
This 253-nucleotide ribosomal RNA is filed under the name uncultured bacterium. RNAcentral describes it as "partial 16S ribosomal RNA". It matches the Rfam family "Bacterial small subunit ribosomal RNA", at positions 524 to 776 of the family's 1533-position model. The record is from RNAcentral.